Molecule: ribosomal RNA, 354 nt
Filed under: uncultured bacterium
Lineage: Bacteria
Description: bacterial SSU rRNA
Rfam family: Bacterial small subunit ribosomal RNA
Source: RNAcentral
CUAAUACCGGAUGUGAUGCAGGGCUCUUCGGAGUGCUGCAGGAAAAGAUCCGCAAGGGUCACUGAAGGACGAGCCUGCGGCCCAUCAGCUAGUUGGCGAGGUAAUGGCUCACCAAGGCGAAGACGGGUAGCUGGUCUGAGAGGAUGAUCAGUCACACUGGAACUGAGACACGGUCCAGACUCCUACGGGAGGCAGCAGUGGGGAAUAUUGCGCAAUGGGCGAAAGCCUGACGCAGCCACGCCGCGUGAGCGAUGAAGGCCUUCGGGUCGUAAAGCUCUGUGGGGGGAGAAGAAAAAAGCCGGUGAAGAGCCGGCCCUGACGGUAUCCCCUUAGCAAGCACCGGCUAACUCCGUG